UACGGCCAUAUGAUAUUGAUACACCGAUUCUCGUACGAUCACCGAAGUUAAGCAACGUCGUGUCUGGUCAGUAAUUAGAUGGGUGACUGCAUCGGAAUACCUGGUGCUAUA
Molecule: non-coding RNA, 111 nt
Organism: Acanthosepion pharaonis
Lineage: Eukaryota; Metazoa; Mollusca; Cephalopoda; Sepiida; Sepiidae
Source: the annotation of a GenBank genome assembly